This 464-nucleotide ribosomal RNA is filed under the name Vreelandella stevensii. RNAcentral describes it as "partial 16S ribosomal RNA". It matches the Rfam family "Bacterial small subunit ribosomal RNA", at positions 338 to 795 of the family's 1533-position model. Lineage: Bacteria; Pseudomonadati; Pseudomonadota; Gammaproteobacteria; Oceanospirillales; Halomonadaceae. The record is from RNAcentral.
CCUACGGGCGGCAGCAGUGGGGAAUAUUGGACAAUGGGGGCAACCCUGAUCCAGCCAUGCCGCGUGUGUGAAGAAGGCCCUCGGGUUGUAAAGCACUUUCAGUGAGGAAGAACGCCUGGUGGUUAAUACCCAUCAGGAAAGACAUCACUCACAGAAGAAGCACCGGCUAACUCCGUGCCAGCAGCCGCGGUAAUACGGAGGGUGCGAGCGUUAAUCGGAAUUACUGGGCGUAAAGCGCGCGUAGGUGGCUUGAUAAGCCGGUUGUGAAAGCCCGGGCUCAACCUGGGAACGGCAUCCGGAACUGUCAAGCUAGAGUGCAGGAGAGGAAGGUAGAAUUCCCGGUGUAGCGGUGAAAUGCGUAGAGAUCGGGAGGAAUACCAGUGGCGAAGGCGGCCUUCUGGACUGACACUGACACUGAGGUGCGAAAGCGUGGGUAGCAAACAGGAUUAGAUACCCGGGUAGUC